Molecule: long non-coding RNA, 4679 nt
Filed under: Gouania willdenowi (blunt-snouted clingfish)
Lineage: Eukaryota; Metazoa; Chordata; Actinopteri; Blenniiformes; Gobiesocidae
Description: lncRNA (ENSGWIG00000018757.1)
Source: RNAcentral
CAGUGCAGGCAGUGGGCUGGGUAUAGUAACCAGGGCAUGUGUGUUGUUGCCAGAAUCAGAGCCACUUUCCAUUUACACCGGGUACAGGCGCACGUGAGACACCGCGCGGCGCUGGUCCAUUAACGGACCCGUGUACCCGGGUACCCGAAACGGACUCCGGAUCCAGGUGGUUUAUAACUCUCAGCGUUGCAGCUGCUCUGCUCGGGUUCACGUCUUUACAAAAAACUUGAACCUGCAAUAACGCUGUGCAGAAGACAACGAUGUACUCCUCUACAACCAUGAACCAGCAGGACCAAUGGGUUGGACCAGUCUCUCCUUUGGUCAACGCUGCACAGAGAAAUCAACAGGCCUGGACUGUGAAUAACAGCUGUCAAUAUGAAACAUACAACUCGGUGUUCCAACCAUCUAACAAUGCUGCUGUGGCUUCCAGAAACUUUUCUCAACCAUAUCGACAAACACAUAAUUUUCAACUCUCUGCUACCCCUUACCAAGCAUAUUCACCUCCCCAGAGGGCAGGAUUGAUGAGUAACAUGUGUCAACCACAAGUAGCACAUCCUAACAACCAGUUUGCAUUGACUAAUAGCCAAACCAUCAACCAAUGUUUUCCAUCUACAUCUGAAAUGCACGACAAAAGAAGUUAUGGAAAUAUAUACACAGACUGGAGCAAUCCUGCUUCACAUGGGACUACAUCUACCCCACUUUUGCAUAAACAGGCUACAUUUAACCAGUCAUUAGUGCCUGUUACAGCAAAAAAGCAACAGAGUUUUCACACCCAAAUCCAAGAUAUCGCUCAACAAGAUAUGCCUCAAUCUUACUAUGGGCCAAAUGCUAAGAAGGCUUACUUCAAGUCUGGGAAAGAUGACAGAAAUGCAAUUAGCUCACCAUUAAGCGGACAGUUUGUUUUCUGCAAUGUUCCACAAGCUCAACAAAAUCCUCCUCAAUGUAGGAUGUCUGCACGUAGCAAAGCUAACCAUGAAUCAAAUUCUAGUUACUCAACUUUACAAAGCAAUAUGCAAAUCCUUUCAUCCUUGGGUAAAGCAAACACAUUUCCCAUCAAUCAUGCUGUUUCUCAACAAAAGCCCAGCAGCACAGUUAGCAGUGACACGUUAGCAGACUCUUUAAGUCAACCUCCAAAGUACACUGGUCUCCAUCAUAUGGUGAAGCAGUCUGUCAGUCAGACAAACGGGCAAAUGUUGAACUCAGCUGUGCCAGAUUAUUUCCAGAAUUCCAGCAACUCCUCAUCACUUCACCAAGAAAAGAUUUCCCGCCAAUGCAUCAGAAAUGGAAUUCCCCCACAAAACCCAGGCAAUAUUUUAUUUGCACAAGCAGGAAGUGUUGGAAAAACCAAGCGUAGGCAUCAAUUCAGAAUCUUUGGAAACAAACUUUUAAGUCUUUUAAAACAACAAACUCCAGUAGAAAUUCCAUCACAAACCCAAUUACCAGCAACAAAGAAUCCUGGCCUUUCAAAGUCUCUUACUUGUGCUAAAGGAAAUGACUGCUCUGUUCAAGCAUCAUCUGCUCAUUUGGGUACAAAAGCAGUAGCUGUUGUGCCCCCUCUUUCUCAAGAGAGUUCCGAGAAUAUUAGUAAGAGGACCUCUCCGAGUACAAGCGAAUGCUAUAAAGACCAACUGCAAACCUCAGCAUCUGGUUUAGAGAUGCGUUUUUCUUUGAGACAGGAAUGCUAUGAUAGCUACAACACAUUAGGAAGUAGCCAAUCUGAUUCCAGUUCCACACCACAAUCUGAUGAUUCCACUGCGUUGUUGCCUUUAAAACAAAUACCGGAAUUCAAUCAAAGGAAUUUGUCACCAACACAAACAAAUGUAGCUCCAGAAGAGCCUGUCAGCCAAAACAUUGCACAGCAUCAAAGCAGUUGUCAAACUGACACAGAAACAACUUCAUCCUCCCAAUCUUUGAACCACGACCAACCCCUUGUGGAAACCCAUGCCUCAAUCAUGAGCUGUUCAGUGGAAGCUCAGAACAAGCAAGAAAAUCUAACAGAGCUGCUCAUUCUCAAAGAAGGAGAAGAAUAUUCAGAGACACCUUAUAAGUCAUCGUGGUUGAACCUCAAUGCACAGCUAAAUGACAUCGACAAAGAAUUUGGCUUUCCUUGGACUAUGAGGUAUCGGCCACAUCAGGGAAGAACAAAUGAAAGCUCCACUGCUGCAGAAGCCCCAAACCAGGUUUCUCAAACACAGCUUGACCCUGAUGGGUCAAUUAAACAGAUUGAAGAUUCGCUUAAUGAAUUGCUAUCAAGUGCGACAGCUGUUUUCUUUGAAUCUGAAAGAGAUGAGUCCUGUUAUAAUUUUAAAAUUGAGGUCCUGCCAUCAGAGCUUGCUAAACAAAUCUAUGAGCAAACAUCCAGAGAGGAUACAUUAGAGCCUACAGUUUGUGUUGAAAAUGGUGUCUCAUCAAGUGAGCUGAAACUACACGAUGGAACAGAAAGUUUAAUUGAAAGAGGCACAACAUUCUCCACACCAGAAAUUGAAUCAGGAUUACCAUUGAGUAAAGGCCCCAUCAAGAUUUCACAUCAUCCUUCUGUGGAGACAGAAAAUUCAGCAAAAGGUGAGGAGGAAACCGAUGAUCACACCAUGAGGUCUAGUUCCCCAAACAGGGAUGAUUGCCUAAUGGAGACUAAUGGAGAGACAGAAGAUGGAGACUUCUCUGACAGAACAGAAAACAGUUCAUCAGAACAUUCUGACUGUGAGGAAGACUGUGCACAGCCUUUGCAGUUAAAUAGAUUUGACAUACAAAGAAAAUAUGAAAAUACAUACCAGGAAGUGAAACCAGUCAAACAUUUUGUGAAAAAGAAUCACUUAUUUGAUGUCUUUCAUAGGAACAAUAAACUAAUUAUUAAGAGAAAAUAUGCCCACUGUAAAACUAAGCACAACACCAGCAAACAGUCAAUUCAUAAUGUUUUUCAAUCAAAAAAACAAGAAAAGAUAAAGGACAAGUUAAAAUGGAAAACUUCUGCUGCUGAUACUCCAUCAACUGCUGAGAUUGCUGUUAAGGUUUUACAAGAGGGAAAACCGUAUGAUGGUCAAAUUGAGAUUAUUGAAGAUACAUUUGAAAAAGUUCCCCCCAGCAGGGAAGAAAAUGGAUCUAAUCAAAUUACAGAACUGCAAAAAACUUCCAAUUUAUUCCUUGAGGAGGAGUGUGCAGGGCCUCUGCCAGUGACUGGAGUUGAGACUCAAAUUGAAGGUGAAAUUACCAACCUGAAUUCAAAUGAGACAGAUCUCCAACAGGCUAUGCUAAAGGAUGCAGUAAAACCCUACAAAGUCUUUCUAGAUAAGGUUCAUGACUUAAGCAGCCAGGGUGAAUGUCAGACUGUUAGUCCACAAUACAGUAAAAGAGAAGAUCAUGACUCCCGAAAUGUCACUGACAAGCAUCCAUCGCCUGUUGAAGUUGUCUCAUCCCAACAGGAAGAGAAGGAUAACAUCCAAUGUGAGAAUAUUAAUGUCACAGAGUCCUCCAACAGUGAAGAAAGCAGUGUCAAUGCAAUAGCAGAUCCACAGAUUCUGGUUUCAAAUCCUGAGGAAGAAAGUGUAGGGUGUCUGCAGUCUGAUGUAUUGGAUACUCAAACCCAAAGUAAAAUAACCAUCCAGGAUUCAGACAAUAAAGGAGUGAAAGUUGACAAAGUCCUUGUUGAUAAGGCAUAUCCCUCAAACACUCCUGGAUAUCAAAUUACUGAUGGAAAAAGGAAAAGACAAAGCGGUAAGGAGAAGGAGGCUUUUCCUUUUGCAAAGAAAAAAGACCAACAAGCUAAAGAUCUGCAAUCCGGAAAAUCUAAUGAAUAUGUUUCAAAGCCUGAAAGUUUGGUCGCUGAUCCUUCAUCAAUGUUUGUAAAGCUUUCCCUCUACGGUAAAUCCCAACUGGGAGAUCCCAAUGGCAAUCAAACACCCCUAAAGCUGCCAAAAGACCUCUUUAUACGUCUUAGCCCCAGGGAGAAGUCACUCAGCGAGGCUGUCUGCACUGAGAACUAUUCUGUAAAAGAUCAGAUCUGGGAAACAUGGAAGGAAAGUUUUGUACCAACUAACGCUGGCUUUAAGGGCAAACCUAGAAGUCCAAUUACAUUUUCAUCUGGAGAGAAAUUAAAGAAGCCACUCUCAUCUCAAAUGCACAUCUCCAGAAAACAAAAGCGCUGCUUGAGUCUAAAAAAGAGAUGGCUUCACAAACUUGAAGAAAAUGAGACAAAAACUGGUGUGUCAUCCAAACUGAGUUCUGAUCUCAACAAAAGUGAUGCAGAAAGAACAAUCCAACAUCCUGCAAAAAAGACUGUCUUGAAGUGUACGAUGCAACCCUCUUUGUUUGAAGAUGAAUCAAAUGGGAACAAAGAAACUCCUGCUUUUUUCAGAUGCAGGCAAAACUUGUUGCAGCCCAAACAGCUCUCCAAAUGUGUCACCAAAAGAAGUGGAAAUUAACAGCAUUUGGUAUCCUGUCAUCAUUAUUGUCUCCUGCUUGUAAACCUGGAGAAAUGGGAACAAGCAAGGAGACUCUUCCAUCUGUUAUGAAAGCCAAUGUCUCAAUGCUUUAUCUCAGGGAGGGAGGGGGAGAGCUGUACAUACAAUGAGUCAACCAAAAGUUUAUCUUGUUCACAUGCCAGUAAAAGUUUACUACUGUCACAAUUAUGUAUUGUUACAACAUUUUUUUGUUUAUUUUUUUAUUAUUGUAUUUGCCUAUUU